UUCCGCGCUGCCCGGCGCCCUAGCCCGCACCCACCUUGACGUCCUCGUCCUCGUCCUCGCCUUCCCAGCGGUCCCCGCCGGCAGUGCCGCCGCCCCCCACCUUCCGCACUGGGUCUUCCACGGAGAAAGCGUCGGCGUCUACGGAAGAAAGCGAGCCGUGUUAGUGCCUGCCACUGCGUGGGGCCGGCGCCGGCCCGGGCCCUGCCCCAGCAACUUCUCCUCACCCCAGGAGUCCGAGUCCCCCGCCGCCGCCGCCGCCGCCGCCAUCUCGAGCCGGGUGUGAGCGUGUGUGAGAGGGAGAGCUAGCGAGGAGUUAGCACGGCGGAGAACAAUUUCGGACCUCCUGGGGUCUAUGCUAGGUAUGAGGUGUAUCUUUGCCCUCCAUCAAGUAGCAAAGAUGGACAUGUAAACAAAUUUCGACACUGUGAUGACUGCCACAAAAAGCAGCAUUAUGAGGUUGAAUGUAAAAGGAUAACCUUAGCGGCGGCGGGGGCCGGAGGAUGAAGGAAGGCUUCCUGAGGUAGGCGCUGGUUGAAACUGAAGUUGGAGAGAGCAAGUGGCAUUUGCUGAAGUGCAUUUCCGGUAGAAAACUCCAGUGGUCCCUCACCUGACUGAGUGGCGCAGUCAGAGAUAAAUGGAACAGAGUCUACAAAUAAACAUUUUAUAAAGAUGAUCCUUCAAUACAUAUUCUACAGCCCAGUUAAAAUGUGAGAGGCCAUGAUCUACAGACAGCCAUUUAUAAAGGUGGAUCAGGGCCGGACACGGUGGCUCAACGUCUGUAAUCCCGGCACUGUGGGAGGCCAAAGCGGGAGGAUCGCUUGAGCCCAGGAGUUCGAGACCAACCUGGCCAACAUGGUGAGACCCCAUCUUUACAAAAAAAUAUAUAUAUCCAGGCAUAGUGGUGUGCACCUGUGGUCCUGUGGUCCCAGCUACUCAGGAAGCUGAGGCAGUUGAGGCUGCAGUGAGCCACGUUCUGGCCACUACACUCCAGCCUGGGCAUCAAAGUGACAAGACCAAAAAAAAAAAAAAAUGUGGAUUGGAAGGAGGCAAGAAAGAAGUCAGGAAAAGGGUGGAAUGUAAGUCCCUAAGGACACAAUCUUACUCACAAUUGUAUCUCCAACAUUUGGCAUAAUGCCUAAUACGUAAGUAUUUUAUGAAUUAAUUAAACGAGAACACAAGCCUAAAUUAAGGCAAUGGCAAUGGAGAAGAAGAAACCAACUUGAGAAAUAUUUAAAGGUCAUUGUCAAUGGAACUUAGUGACUUUAAUGGUUAAUUUUAUCUAUCAACUUGGCUAGGCGAUGCUACCCAUGUUACUCAGUUUUUGGUCAAACACUAGUCUAGUUGUUGCUAUGAAUUGUAUUUGUUAGAUGUGAUUAACAUUUAAAUCAGCAGACUUUGAUUAAAGUACAUUACCCUCUAUAAUGAGGGUGGGCCGCAUCCGGUCAGUUCAAAUUAAAACGAGACCCUUAAGAAGAAGCAAUUCAGCCUCCAGACUGCAGCGUCAAAUCUCCCUGGGUCUCCAGGCUGUUUGUCUGCCCUGCAGAUUUCAGACUUGCCAGCUCCCAGAAUAAUGUGAGCCAAUUCCUUAAAAUAAAUCUCUUUCUGCAUAUACACAUCCUAUUGAUUCUGUUUCUCUGGAGAACCCGUACUAAUAUAGUGUCUGACUAGAUAUGAAGGAGGAGGGGAAGGGAGAAAUAGAUAGA
This 1703-nucleotide long non-coding RNA is filed under the name Homo sapiens (human). RNAcentral's name for it is "non-protein coding EIF3J-DT:24". Lineage: Eukaryota; Metazoa; Chordata; Mammalia; Primates; Hominidae. The record is from RNAcentral.